AUGUCUAUAUCAUGUGGAAACACCAGUUCUCAUACAAUCACCAAAGCUAAGCAACAUAGAGCCUGGCCAAUAACUAGAUGGGCGACAGCUUGGGAAUAUCAGGUGCUGUAAG
Acanthosepion pharaonis is the source of this 112-nucleotide non-coding RNA. NCBI's taxonomy places the organism in Eukaryota, Metazoa, Mollusca, Cephalopoda, Sepiida, Sepiidae. The record is from the annotation of a GenBank genome assembly.